GACGAACACUGGCGGCGUGCUCAACACAUGCAAGUCGAACGAAGAGCGAUGGAAGCUUGCUUCUAUCAAUCUUAGUGGCGAACGGGUGAGUAACGCGUAAUCAACCUGCCUUUCAGAGGGGGACAACAGUUGGAAACGACUGCUAAUACCGCAUACGAUCUAAUCUCGGCAUCGAGGAUAGAUGAAAGGUGGCCUCUACAUGUAAGCUAUCACUGAAGGAGGGGAUUGCGUCUGAUUAGCUAGUUGGAGGGGUAACGGCCCACCAAGGCGAUGAUCAGUAGCCGGUCUGAGAGGAUGAACGGCCACAUUGGGACUGAGACACGGCCCAGACUCCUACGGGAGGCAGCAGUGGGGAAUCUUCCGCAAUAGACGAAAGUCUGACGGAGCAACGCCGCGUGAGUGAUGACGGCCUUCGGGUUGUAAAGCUCUGUUAAUCGGGACGAAAGGCCUUCUUGCGAAUAGUGAGAAGGAUUGACGGUACCGGAAUAGAAAGCCACGGCUAACUACGUG
This 510-nucleotide ribosomal RNA is filed under the name uncultured bacterium. Its description in RNAcentral is "partial 16S ribosomal RNA". It matches the Rfam family "Bacterial small subunit ribosomal RNA", at positions 28 to 507 of the family's 1533-position model. The record is from RNAcentral.